GACGAACGCUGGCGGCGUGCUUAACACAUGCAAGUCGAACGAAGUGGAGAACGGGUGAGUAACGCGUAAUCAACCUGCCCUUCAGAGGGGGACAACAGUUGGAAAAGAAUGCUAAUCCCGCCUCCGGACGGAGGGGAUUGCGUCUGAUUAGGUAGUUGGAGGGGUAACGGCCCACCAAGGCGAUGACAAGUAGCCGGGCUGGGAGGAUGAACGGCCACAUUGGGACGGAGACACGGCCCAGACUCCUACGGUAGGCAGCAGUGGGGAAUCUUCCGCAAUGGACGAAAGUCUGACGGAGCAACGCCGCGUGAGUGAUGACGGCCUUCGGGUUGUAAAGCUCUGUUAAUCGGGACGCGGUACCGGAAUAGAAAGCCACGGCUAACUACGUGCCAGCAGCCGCGGUAAUUC
This 408-nucleotide ribosomal RNA is filed under the name uncultured bacterium. RNAcentral's name for it is "partial 16S ribosomal RNA". It matches the Rfam family "Bacterial small subunit ribosomal RNA", at positions 28 to 526 of the family's 1533-position model. The record is from RNAcentral.